GCAGGGGCCUAAGUAGUAGUGCCGCAGGUCACUGAUUCGAGAUCACCUGCUCUCUGCUACUUAAGACCCUGC
This 72-nucleotide microRNA precursor is filed under the name Soboliphyme baturini. RNAcentral describes it as "mir-252 microRNA precursor family". It matches the Rfam family "mir-252 microRNA precursor family". Lineage: Eukaryota; Metazoa; Nematoda; Enoplea; Dioctophymatida; Soboliphymatidae. The record is from Rfam by way of RNAcentral.